RNAcentral lists this ribosomal RNA (301 nucleotides) under uncultured bacterium. Its description in RNAcentral is "partial 16S ribosomal RNA". It matches the Rfam family "Bacterial small subunit ribosomal RNA", at positions 509 to 809 of the family's 1533-position model. The record is from RNAcentral.
CAGUAGCCGCGGGAACACGUAGGGUGCAAGCGUUAAUCGGAAUUACUGGGCGUAAAGCGUGCGCAGGCGGUUAUAUAAGACAGAUGUGAAAUCCCCGGGCUCAACCUGGGAACUGCAUUUGUGACUGUAUAGCUAGAGUACGGCAGAGGGGGAUGGAAUUCCGCGUGUAGCAGUGAAAUGCGUAGAUAUGCGGAGGAACACCGAUGGCGAAGGCAAUCCCCUGGGCCUGUACUGACGCUCAUGCACGAAAGCGUGGGGAGCAAACAGGAUUAGAUACCCCAGUAGUCCCUGUCUCUUAUAA